CCUGUGUUGCUUACCCCUGGAAUGGAAUUUGAUGGAUUUGGUGUCCCCAUCCGCCUUGCGCCCUUCGGGGUGCGGGGUGGACUCGAGUCGGGCUCCGUGUUCCCCGCGUGUCGAGUGCGUUGUCGCUCGGCCGCUGUGGCCCAUGGGGUCUUGGCCGUGCUCUCGGAUGCGGAAUGCUUGGUGUGGGCGCGGGGUCUCGGCCUCUGCUCGUCCGAGCUGCACGCAUUGUCCCUUGACUUGAACGACCGCCCCGCCCGUCUUGAUCGGCCGACCGAGCCCCCGUCGCGGGGCUUCGGGAGGGCGGUUCAUGCGGGUCUCGGCGUCGGGGAGGAAUGC
This 336-nucleotide unclassified non-coding RNA is filed under the name Zanthoxylum avicennae. RNAcentral's name for it is "partial external transcribed spacer". The record is from RNAcentral. Lineage: Eukaryota; Viridiplantae; Streptophyta; Magnoliopsida; Sapindales; Rutaceae.